This 164-nucleotide non-coding RNA is filed under the name fish gut metagenome. The record is from RNAcentral.
GGUGUCAAAUACGACACUCUGGAAUUAAAAGGGAAUGCAGUGAAAAUCUGCAACAGUUCCCGCUGCUGUAAGUUUCUAAAUGAUUUAAUCAAUCUGAUCCACUGACUAUAUGUUGGGAAGGAGGUUAAAUUUGGAACGAGUCAGAAGACCUGCCUUUUGCAAAA